This 474-nucleotide ribosomal RNA is filed under the name uncultured bacterium. Its description in RNAcentral is "bacterial SSU rRNA". It matches the Rfam family "Bacterial small subunit ribosomal RNA", at positions 30 to 498 of the family's 1533-position model. The record is from RNAcentral.
AUUGAACGCUGGCGGCAUGCCUUACACAUGCAAGUCGAACGGCAGCGGACCUUCGGGUGCCGGCGAGUGGCGAACGGGUGAGUAAUAUAUCGGAACGUACCUUUCAGUGGGGGAUAACGUAGCGAAAGUUACGCUAAUACCGCAUAUUCUGUGAGCAGGAAAGCAGGGGAUCGCAAGACCUUGCGCUGAUUGAGCGGCCGAUAUCAGAUUAGCUAGUUGGUGAGGUAAAGGCUCACCAAGGCGACGAUCUCUAGCUGGUCUGAGAGGACGAUCAGCCACACUGGGACUGAGACACGGCCCAGACUCCUACGGGAGGCAGCAGUGGGGAAUAUUGGACAAUGGGCGAAAGCCUGAUCCAGCAAUGCCGCGUGUGUGAAGAAGGCCUGAGGGUUGUAAAGCACUCUCAAUCGUGAAGAAAAGUUAGCAGGCUAAUACCCUGUGACCUUGACGUUAACGAUACAAGAAGCACCGGCU